GACGAACGCUGGCGGCGUGCCUAAUACAUGCAAGUUGAGCGCUGAAGGUUGGUACUUGUACCGACUGGAUGAGCAGCGAACGGGUGAGUAAAGCGUGGGGAAUCUGCCUUUGGGCGGGGGACAACAUUUGGAAACGAAUGCUAAUACCGCAUAAAAACUUUAAACACAAGUUUUAAGUUUGAAAGAUGCAAUUGCAUCACUCAAAGAUGAUCCCGCGUUGUAUUAGCUAGUUGGUGAGGUAAAGGCUCACCAAGGCGAUGAUACAUAGCCGACCUGAGAGGGUGAUCGGCCACAUUGGGACUGAGACACGGCCCAAACUCCUACGGGAGGCAGCAGUAGGGAAUCUUCGGCAAUGGACGAAAGUCUGACCGAGCAACGCCGCGUGAGUGAAGAAGGUUUUCGGAUCGUAAAACUCUGUUGGUAGAGAAGAACGUUGGUGAGAGUGGAAAGCUCAUCAAGUGACGGUAACUACCCAGAAAGGGACGGCUAACUACGUG
This 497-nucleotide ribosomal RNA is filed under the name uncultured bacterium. Its description in RNAcentral is "partial 16S ribosomal RNA". It matches the Rfam family "Bacterial small subunit ribosomal RNA", at positions 28 to 507 of the family's 1533-position model. The record is from RNAcentral.